CUUUCCUACAAUACAUAAUUAAAAAAAAACUCAUUAAUUAAAAAAUUAUUAAGGACAUACUCAAAAGAUGAUGCCUUUCUUGGGACUUUAGGCGACUGUCUUGUUUGCUUAUACUUAAAGCUACCACUGGAUGUGACUAUUCGAGACCUUAUCACUACCGUAAGUGAAGCUUACUGGAAAAUUUUGAGUGAGAGCAUUGAUAUGAUCUUGGGAGUGUCUAGUUUGGCUUCCACUUAGGGGAAUGAAGAAACUAAUCUUCAACUCCAGGUGAAAGACAACGAUGCAGGAAGGAAAAUGAAGAGUGGAGCUAGGGUGGGCUGAUGAGUGAUCAUGCCCUUGCUUUCAUUUUCUCUUUUUUUUUUUUGGGUUUGUUAUCAUUUCAUAAUUACAAAAAUAACCUUAUACCUUGGAGUGUUUAAACAUUUUUUUCAAUUUUAAUGGUAUAUAAGUAAUUUUAUUCAAAGGGUCAUUUAUUAUUCUAUUCACUUAAUAAAUGGAAAAGGACAAACACACCCCCAACGUUUAGGCAAAGGGACAAAAAUCCUCCUAACAUU
RNAcentral lists this long non-coding RNA (554 nucleotides) under Citrus x clementina. RNAcentral's name for it is "Citrus clementina (C. clementina) long non-coding RNA (CCLE_LNC001996)". The record is from RNAcentral. Lineage: Eukaryota; Viridiplantae; Streptophyta; Magnoliopsida; Sapindales; Rutaceae.